CUGACAGUCAACAUAAUGAUGAGAGCUGUGUUAUACAAUGUUAAGGAUACUUGUUCAUCUUCUGCUGUGUGAAUUCUGCUGUGUCAGUCCUGUGGGACUUGAUGCCGGCUGGUAGCAGUGUGACGUCUUUGCUUACUAAAUGAUCAAAGGGUGUCUGAAAUCAGCUCAGCCACAGUUGGUUUCCAACGGUUCUUCAGGACAUGGAGGCCACUACGUAACUGUUGCAAUGAACGAUUCUUUUGCCUUUCCACCUGAUGUUGACAAUCUGACCUGUGCGGUACUGAAAGCAACUUAUAUCUUAAAAUAUAUCAGUGCCCUUUGUUUUGCCUCAAAAUGCACACCAGUAAUGUUUUUUGUUGAAACCAGUUAUAUUUCCUAAUUAAACUAAGGCC
This is a non-coding RNA of Misgurnus anguillicaudatus (oriental weatherfish), 392 nucleotides long. NCBI's taxonomy places the organism in Eukaryota, Metazoa, Chordata, Actinopteri, Cypriniformes, Cobitidae. The record is from RefSeq and is a predicted model, not a curated record.